This 407-nucleotide ribosomal RNA is filed under the name uncultured bacterium. RNAcentral describes it as "partial 16S ribosomal RNA". It matches the Rfam family "Bacterial small subunit ribosomal RNA", at positions 28 to 526 of the family's 1533-position model. The record is from RNAcentral.
GACGAACGCUGGCGGCGUGCCUAAUACAUGCAAGUAGGACGCAGUUGCGAACGGGUGAGUAACGCGUAGGUAACUACCUAAUAGAGGGGGAAAACUAUUGGAAACGCUAGCUAAUACCGCAUAAUCGUAGAUGGAACUGCGUUGUAUUAGCUAGUAGGUAGGGUAAUGGCCUACCUAGGCAACGAGACAUAGCCGACCUGGGAGGGGGAUCGGCCACAUGGGUGGUGAGACACGGCCCAGAGCUCUACGGGAGGAAGCAGUAGGGAAACUUCGGGAAGGGGGGGAACCCUGACCGGGCAACGCCGGGGGAGGGAAUAAGGUUUUCGGAACGGAAGGCUCUGUUGUUAAGGAAACGGUACUUAACCAGAAAGGGACGGCUAACUACGUGCCAGCAGCCGCGGUAAUUC